AUUGAACGCUGGCGGAAUGCUUUACACAUGCAAGUCGAACGGCAGCACGGGAGCUUGCUCCUGGUGGCGAGUGGCGAACGGGUGAGUAAUAUAUCGGAACGUACCUAGUAAUGGGGGAUAACUAUCCGAAAGGAUAGCUAAUACCGCAUACGCCCUGAGGGGGAAAGCGGGGGAUCUUCGGACCUCGCGUUAUUAGAGCGGCCGAUAUCUGAUUAGCUAGUUGGUGGGUAAAGCCCACCAAGGCGACGAUCAGUAGCUGGUCUGAGAGGACGACCAGCCACACUGGAACUGAGACACGGUCCAGACUCCUACGGGAGGCAG
Molecule: ribosomal RNA, 321 nt
Filed under: uncultured Pseudomonadota bacterium
Lineage: Bacteria; Pseudomonadati; Pseudomonadota
Description: bacterial SSU rRNA
Rfam family: Bacterial small subunit ribosomal RNA
Source: RNAcentral